Molecule: ribosomal RNA, 253 nt
Filed under: uncultured bacterium
Lineage: Bacteria
Description: partial 16S ribosomal RNA
Rfam family: Bacterial small subunit ribosomal RNA
Source: RNAcentral
UACGGGGGGGGCAAGCGUUAUCCGGAUUUACUGGGCGUAGAGCGCGUGUAGGUUGUUGCGUAAGUUAGUUGUGAAAUCCCUCGGCUUAACCGAGGAACUGCAGCUAAUACUGCGUGGCUGGAGUGGCAGAGAGGAAAGUGGAAUUCCCGGUGUAGUAGUGAAAUGCGUAGAUAUCGGGAGGAACACCAGUGGCGAAGGCGACUUGCUGGCUGCUAACUGACACUGAGACGCGAAAGCUAGGGGAGCGAACGGG